RNAcentral lists this ribosomal RNA (324 nucleotides) under uncultured bacterium. RNAcentral describes it as "bacterial SSU rRNA". It matches the Rfam family "Bacterial small subunit ribosomal RNA", at positions 28 to 334 of the family's 1533-position model. The record is from RNAcentral.
GAUGAACGCUGGCGGCGUGCUUAACACAUGCAAGUCGAACGAAGCACUUUACCAGAUUUCUUCGGAAUGAAAGUUUUGUGACUGAGUGGCGGACGGGUGAGUAACGCGUGGGUAACCUGCCUCAUACAGGGGGAUAACAGUUGGAAACGACUGCUAAUACCGCAUAAGCGCACGGUAUCGCAUGAUAUAGUGUGAAAAAUUCCGGUGGUAUGAGAUGGGCCCGCGUCUGAUUAGCUAGUUGGUAAGGUAACGGCUUAUCAAGGCGACGAUCAGUAGCCGACCUGAGAGGGUGACCGGCCACAUUGGGACUGAGACACGGCCCAA